AUUGAACGCUGGCGGCAUGCCUUACACAUGCAAGUCGAACGGCAGCACGGGGCAACCUGGUGGCGAGUGGCGAACGGGUGAGUAAUGCAUCGGAACGUGCCAUUGAGUGGGGGAUAACGUAGCGAAAGUUGCGCUAAUACCGCAUACGACCUGAGGGUGAAAGCGGGGGAUCGCAAGACCUCGCGCGAGAGGAGCGGCCGAUGGCGGAUUAGCUAGUUGGUGGGGUAAAGGCCCACCAAGGCGACGAUCCGUAGCGGGUCUGAGAGGACGGCCCGCCACACUGGGACUGAGACACGGCCCAGACUCCUACGGGAGGCAGCAGUGGGGAAUUUUGGACAAUGGGGGGCAACCCUGAUCCAGCCAUUCCGCGUGAGUGAAGAAGGCCUCGGUUGUAAG
RNAcentral lists this ribosomal RNA (396 nucleotides) under uncultured bacterium. RNAcentral's name for it is "bacterial SSU rRNA". It matches the Rfam family "Bacterial small subunit ribosomal RNA", at positions 29 to 429 of the family's 1533-position model. The record is from RNAcentral.